Trichechus manatus latirostris (Florida manatee) is the source of this 5142-nucleotide long non-coding RNA. RefSeq lists it as uncharacterized. The transcript is spliced from 4 exons. Lineage: Eukaryota; Metazoa; Chordata; Mammalia; Sirenia; Trichechidae. The record is from RefSeq and is a predicted model, not a curated record.
AGUGUUUUACUUACUGUGCCACCAGGGCUCCUUAAACAGUGUAUACAUUAUAAAAAAACAAUAACACAAGAAAAACACGAACGUCAACCAAUCGGUUAACUGACAAAGCCUUCUCGCCAAGGCUCUAGCUCCUCCCUGUACUGUCUGAAAAUUUGUUCCUUAGAACUCUGAUCAGUUUACCCUGUAACGCUCUACACGACCACCCUCUGCCUCAGACCUUGGCCAGGUUGCUCUGGAAUCCUGUAUACCUGGCUUCAGCUAGAAGGCAUGGCUUGGCUCUCUCUGGCAGUCUGCACUUACCUUGGGAAUUGUAAGACUGCUCGGAGUUGGAAUGUUGAAAAGAAGAGAAAACUCCUGGAGUCCUGACCUGUUCAGGGGACUUCAGCUUGACUGUGGGCCCAGGUUUUGAAUUCUCAGGAAGUGAAACUAGAAUGCUCCCGCUUUCCGGCCUCAAGGACAAAAAAAGCUGUUUCCUGUUUAUCAUUAUGAAUCUGGCUCCAAUACGGCCAGCAUGAUCACUUCAGGACUUUGCCAAAAUAUGGCAAAUAGAGCAUGAGUUCUCUAUAGGUGGGCUAGACCAAAAGACCAAUGGAACACAGAAACUCUGCUGCAUGGAGAAUCACCCCUCCCUUGUCUGUGACACGGAAAAUGUCUCACGUACUGUAUGAGAGCGUGCAAAGUGGGAAAGGGCCACUAAAACAAUCCACGCAAGGAAACGUAGCGGAAUGUACACCGUGAUUACAUCUCUGGUAAAAUUCAUCUGCUGACGGACGAACACUGGAAAUGAAUGAGCAAAAAUGAAAAUUACUGUAUGAUACGCCGGUAAGGAUAUAGAAGAGUUCUGUCAUUUUCUAUUUUUAAAUUUUUUUGUAAUGUCAUUAUAUAGACUUUGUAAUGAAAGGUAUAUUUUUAAAGUUUCCUAGUGUAGAAAACACUUUUAUCUAAACAUUUCCUGUUAUGUAAAUCAUGUUAAGAAUAACUAUAUUGGUUAAUAACAAAAAUAUUUUAAGUAUAUCCAAUCCUAAUCUCAACAUCAAAUCAAACAAAUUACUGUUGAUAAGGAGACUCAUGCCUUUCACUUUAGCCUAUAGGGACGCAGAAUAGCAUAGAGGUUAGAAUGGAUUUUGGAGUCAGACAGAUGUGGGUUGAAAUUUUGAGUUCAGAACUCAUUAAUUAGUUCUAUGAUUUUGAGCCAUAGCUUCCUCAACUGUAAAUUAGAGAUAAUAAGGGCCAGAAUUUAUUGAGACCUUACUACCUGCCAUGCUUUACUUAAACGUAUUAUUUAUUUCAAUUUUCAUCUUAAUAUUAUGAUGUAGUUAUGAAUUUUAUCAUUAUUUUACAGAUGAGAAAACUGAGUCUUUCAGGGAUAAAGUAACUUGCCUGAAGUCAUCUAGCCAAUUAAGAGUAGAGUUGGAAUUGAAAGCCAGGACUCAUGCUUUAGCUCCACCUUCUCCCACCUUACAUGUAACUACUGUACAUAAUUCAAAGGGUUGCUGGCAGCAUAAAAAAUAUAACAGUUAAAAUAUUUUUCACAGUGUCUGACAUAUUGUAAGCACCUAUAUGCUAGCUAUAUCGUAUAUAUAAGAGGAGACAGCAGUGGGACUGUAGAAGGGUUUUAAUGUAUUAGUCAUUAGCCAUUGACUGGUAGAGAUUGUCAUAUCUGCCUGGCUAGGAAGAGAUCCCUGGCUUCUCUCACUGUUCCCCACCCCUUCCAUUGUGCCUCUUCCAAGUUGUAUAGUUGGGCAAAGAAGAAUAGCCUUCUCUGAUGAAACAGGGGGUACAUGUGGACUUUAAAUGUACUGAGCUGAGAUAAUCCUGAGGUAAUAACAAUAAUAAGGAAGAGUAUAUAGUGGUUAUGUAGUGAUUCCUCAUUCUUCAUUUCCAUUUUAGGCCAAGAAUAAAAGAAGGAACAAAAUUGAAAAUGGAUCUCAUUUAUUUCAAAAUCAUGCUUGCCUUCUGUCAGAUAAAGAUGUUGAAUGAGGCAGCUUAAGGCUUCUCUUUCCCGUUGUGGAUGAGACAGAUUUAGAGAGAAAACACUGUGCCUAGAACUUUCUAAAUGCCCAUUUCAUUUGAUAACCUGUGGGAUCUACUCUGAGAUUAUAUAUAUUUUUAAGGGGUGUUAAAGGAAGAAAAGUGGGGACUUUCUAAAUUACCAGGCAAUGCCUCCAAUGUUGCAGUGGGAGAAGCCAAGAUGCAGCAGCCUUAGAGGGUAUUUAGCAGUUUGUGCCAGGAGAACUUGACCUUGGAUGGGUCAGGAAUAUGACCAGAGUCUGAUUCUACGCUUUGCAGAUCAAGAAAUUCAGUUUUUUCCCGAACAAUGAGAAAGCUCUGGGAGGACUGACAGAUGUUAACUGUAAGAAACAGUAUAGACAAGUCAACUCUUUUCACUUACAAUGGAAUUUAAUGCUUUCCAGAGAUGAGCGUUUGACAGAGGGUUCUAAUAGCUAACUUGAGUUAAUUUUGCCUCUGGAAAGUAUUUUCGGAGUACUUAUAAAUUCCCAGAGUUGGAAUUAACAAAUCAAACAUACUAUUUAAAUGUUAUAUUUAUCAGCCUGGGCCACUCACUAAACCUGUGACUCUGAGAAAGUUAAAUUCUCUGUGCCUCAGUUUUAUCAUCUAUAAAAUGGGGGUAAUAUGUAUAUACCUCACUGAGUUGUUAUGAUAACGUAUGUAUGUACAGAAAGCACUUAGCAAAUAGUAGCUGGUUAUAGUAAGAUCUCAAUAAAUAGUAACAUAUGGUUAUUAUAAAUUUUUGUGUUCAUUUCAAAUUGAAGCUUCUUGAAAAUGAUAUUAUGGCCAGUCUCCCCAAAACCUUGGGAAACUGGGGCAGCUCAGGCUUCACAGAAGAUCUAAUUUACCUCUAUACUUUCUUCUCUUUUCUUAAAUGUAUUUCUCCACAACAGUCUGUCUCUUCAAAAAAAGCCUUAUUUGUGGUCAGAGUCAUCUUGUCCUGUCUUUUCUCUGAGAUAGUACCCGACAUCAGUUUCAAACGACCAAAGUUGUUUUUCUAUAUAAUAUUAAGUUUACAUAAUUCAUGCUCCCAUCAGUAAUUCUCCAAGUUAAAUUCUUCCUCUGAGCCUCUGGGUUAGGUUGAUGAGACUUGGUUUCACUUUCCAUGGGAGCUGUUCCCAUGGAAAGACAACACAUUCUGAGUCACCUGUUUCUAAAAUACUAAUGCCUCUUUUUUUUUUUUUUCUCAUCGGAACCUGAUAUCAGUAUGUUGUUCUCUUAUUUAAGGCAACAAAUCUGUAUGUUAUCAGGUAGAGUGAUUGGGGUUUUUUUUUUAUGCAUUUCCCACCAGAACACAAUGGAAAUAAUAUGCAUAAGGUGAAUCUUUUAUCCAGGCCAUCCUUUUGACCCAGUAAUCCCAUCUCUGGAAAUUUAUAAAUAUAUCAAAGGCAGAAAAGGUUAUAUGCCUGAGUAUAUUCCUGGCUUAAUUUUAAUAGUGUAAAAUUUGCCAGUGACCCAAAUAAUAGGGGAAUGAUUAUUGAAAUUUCAUAUGACCUGGCUAGGAUAUGUGCAACCAUUAAAAACUGUAAUUUUGAAGACUGUGCUACAACACAGGAAAAUAUCUGCAUUAGCUACCGCUGUGAAACAAACAACCUUGAAAUCUCAGUCAUACAAUAAUAAGCAUUUAUUUCUUACUCAUGUAUUUGUAGAUAAGGUAGGUUUCGGCUGAUCCAGUUGAGCUUGGUUAAAUUUGACUUCAGGCCAUGAAUUGAGUUCAGGUCUGUUUCACAUGUCUUUCAUUCCUCAGCAACUGAUGGGCUACUCAGGGCAUGUUUUCUCAUGGCAAAGGUAGAAACCCAAGAGAGCAAACUCAAUGCUAAAAACAUAUGUAAAGCCUCUGCGUACAUCAUAACUACUAAUAUUUCAUGUCCAAAUCAAGUCAUAUGGCCAAGUCCGCAUCAAGGCAACAUCAAGGCAGCCAGGAAAUAUAUUCCAGUUUUAACAUUAGGAACUACAAAGUGUACAGUAUAGGGAGGGAUGAAGUAUUGGGAAUAAUAAUACAACUUACAAUGCCUCACAAAGUGGUUACGGGGAAAAAAAAGCAUCCACAGGAUAUAAAAUUGAUACACAACUUGAUCAUAACUAUGUAAAAAUAUAUAUGCAUAUCAACAAAGAAUGGAAAUAAAAAAGCAAAAUUGAAAAAAAAUUAUGGCUCAAUAACAAUAUAUGAACUUUUUAUUUUACCUUUCUUCAUUUUUCAGAUUUACACAACAGUAUCAUAUUAUUCUUCUUUUUAAAAGUAGGUUUUAGGAGCUUCUUACCGUAGGCAACUCUUUUAAAUUGGUUAUUUUGUUAAACUAGUUGUUUUAGCCAUCAUAUUAAGGCUUUGUAGAAAAAAAAUUAGAAUUCUAAGUACAGCCAAGUUAGAAAAUUAUUCUUAUUACCCACCAAUUCCCAAUCACAAACUCAAAUCUAACAAACUUCGUUAUCACGGAUCUUUAACUUUGCCUGCUCCCCUACAAACAGUUCAAUUGUCUUUAUUCUCUUAUUCUUUAUUAUUGCAGUGCUGAAGAUUAUUCUCCACACGGACCUCUUUGAAGUCUACAAAAUUAGAUAUUCAGUUCAUUGAAUAGGAGGAUUGUCCCUAGUAGGUUCCGAUUUUCUGAAAGGAGGAAGUCCAUUCCACAAAUAUUUACUGAGCACCUGCCAGGUACAAGGCCUUGUGCUAGUUGAUUUCGGGGCAAUAAAGAUGUGUAAAUGAUGACACUUAACCCUCAAGGAGCUCGCAGUCUUACUGGAGAGAAGUGUGUACACAUCUGUUUUAGGGACAGAAAGAACAGACUAGGAGAAGGGUUCAAUGGUUCUAAAUCUCAGUGGCAUAUUUGAAGAAUCUGGACAGCUUUUAACGAAUACCAGUCCAAGCCCCACACCCAGAGUUGCUAAUUUAAUUGGUCUGGUGUCAGGCCUGAUCACUGAUAUUUUUUUAAGCUCCUCUGAUGAUUAUAAUGUCUAGCCAGGGUUGAGGACCAUUGGGGUAAGACUUCUACUUGAACUCUGACUGAGCUGUUUGAGUCAGGUAAGAACUGACAAAGACUCUCAAAUUCCAAAUUUAAAACGAAUCUUUUUAAAAUAAAUUAUUUUAUCAAAAAUCAUAUACUACUUGCAUAUAGUUUAAAAAAUCAAAUAGUACCA